UACGUAGGGACCGAGCGUUGUCCGGAUUCAUUGGGCGUAAAGAGCUCGUAGGCGGCCACUCAAGUCGAAUGUGAAACCUCGAGGCUUAACCUCGAGCCUGCAUUUGAUACUGGGCGGCUAGAGUCUGGUAGGGGGAUCUGGAAUUCCUGGUGUAGCGGUGAAAUGCGCAGAUAUCAGGAGGAACACCGGUGGCGAAGGCGGGAUCCUGGGCCAGUACUGACGCUGAGGAGCGAAAGCGUGGGGAGCAAACAGG
This 253-nucleotide ribosomal RNA is filed under the name uncultured bacterium. RNAcentral's name for it is "partial 16S ribosomal RNA". It matches the Rfam family "Bacterial small subunit ribosomal RNA", at positions 524 to 776 of the family's 1533-position model. The record is from RNAcentral.